CAGAAUAUUCACAUUUGCAGAUUUGCCGGUGUACAGCAAGCUGAUCUCCCUUGCAGAAAAAAAUUUAUAUGAUGGUGAAUUAGCAGCAGAAAUCCUAAACACAAAGGAUCAUGCAAUAACUUCCACAUCUACUAGUAGGACACCAUCUCAGCUUAGUGGUAAGUUUUCUGUCGUCAUAACUGACUAAUCAGCAACUUUCACAUAAUAUGUCGACUAAAAUGUUGA
This is a long non-coding RNA of Xenia sp. Carnegie-2017, 225 nucleotides long. RefSeq lists it as uncharacterized. The record is from RefSeq and is a predicted model, not a curated record. The transcript is spliced from 3 exons. Lineage: Eukaryota; Metazoa; Cnidaria; Anthozoa; Malacalcyonacea; Xeniidae.